ACGUAGGGCGCAAGCGUUGUCCGGAAUUAUUGGGCGUAAAGAGCUCGUAGGCGGCUUGUCACGUCGAUUGUGAAAGCCCGAGGCUUAACCUCGGGUCUGCAGUCGAUACGGGCUGGCUAGAGUGUGGUAGGGGAGAUCGGAAUUCCUGGUGUAGCGGUGACAUGCAUUGAUAUCAGGAGGAACACCCGAGGCGAAGGCGGUUCACUGGGCCUUAUCUGACGCUGAGGCGCGAAAGCGUGGGUAGCAAACAGGA
This 253-nucleotide ribosomal RNA is filed under the name uncultured prokaryote. Its description in RNAcentral is "partial 16S ribosomal RNA". It matches the Rfam family "Bacterial small subunit ribosomal RNA", at positions 525 to 777 of the family's 1533-position model. The record is from RNAcentral.